AGAGAAAGAGAGAAAGAUAAGGGAAGAAGGAGGAAGAAAAAGGGGAAGAAGAUGCUCGUUGUGCGACGUCAGGGUUGAAUCUUUCAAUUUCGAUGCCGGAUUAGUGAUCCUCAUCUCGAGAUCUACGAUUUGAGAUGAUCUUGCAGGUUAUCCGACUAAAGAGCUAGAUCUGGGACCCACUGUGAAAUUUUCAGCUGAGGAUUGGUGGGUUCCUGAAGAUCUUGGGCAUGGGGCCGAGUGCCCAUGCAAGAGUUGUAUUACGGGACAGCAACACUGAUACCAACCCGGGUUUCUUUUUCUAUUAUUUUAUGAUGUUACCCCUUUUGUGUUUUGGAUGUUUAAAUUGUAAUGCUUGUGUAUAGAUCAUGCCUACGGGCUCACAUGUAUAUGAACUAUAUAAUACAAUUUAGGUAUCAAGAGUAUUGGGGUAUUUACAGAUGUCUACAUGUAAGACUUAUGCUGAAAUACAUAAAUUGCUUUCUUUAGUUUGGGUAUGCUGUGUAGUGGUUAUUGUAUCA
Long non-coding RNA from Macadamia integrifolia, 518 nucleotides. RefSeq lists it as uncharacterized. NCBI's taxonomy places the organism in Eukaryota, Viridiplantae, Streptophyta, Magnoliopsida, Proteales, Proteaceae. The record is from RefSeq and is a predicted model, not a curated record. The transcript is spliced from 2 exons.